UACGUAGGGGGCAAGCGUUGUCCGGAUUUACUGGGCGUAAAGCGCGCGUAGGCGGAAGCGCCAGUCCGGCCUGAAAGCCCCCGGCUCAACCGGGGAGAGUGGCUGGAAACUGCGUUUCUUGAGGGCGAGAGGGGAGGGUGGAAUUCCUGGUGUAGCGGUGAAAUGCGUAGAGAUCAGGAGGAACACCCGGGGCGAAGGCGGCCCUCUGGCUCGACCCUGACGCUGAGGCGCGAAAGCGUGGGGAGCGAACGGG
This 253-nucleotide ribosomal RNA is filed under the name uncultured bacterium. RNAcentral describes it as "partial 16S ribosomal RNA". It matches the Rfam family "Bacterial small subunit ribosomal RNA", at positions 524 to 776 of the family's 1533-position model. The record is from RNAcentral.